This 274-nucleotide ribosomal RNA is filed under the name uncultured bacterium. Its description in RNAcentral is "partial 16S ribosomal RNA". It matches the Rfam family "Bacterial small subunit ribosomal RNA", at positions 523 to 796 of the family's 1533-position model. The record is from RNAcentral.
AUACGAAGGGGGCAAGCGUUGUUCGGAAUAACUGGGCGUAAAGCGCACGUAGGCGGAAUGUUAAGUUAGAGGUGAAAUCCCAGGGCUCAACCCUGGAACUGCCUUUAAUACUGGCAAUCUAGAGACCGAGAGAGGUGAGUGGAAUUCCGAGUGUAGAGGUGAAAUUCGUAGAUAUUCGGAGGAACACCAGUGGCGAAGGCGGCUCACUGGCUCGGUACUGACGCCGAGGUGCGAAAGCGUGGGGAGCAAACAGGAGUAGAAACCCCAGUAGUCC